This 587-nucleotide ribosomal RNA is filed under the name Xanthomonas citri pv. citri. RNAcentral's name for it is "partial 23S ribosomal RNA". It matches the Rfam family "Bacterial large subunit ribosomal RNA", at positions 2343 to 2925 of the family's 2925-position model. The record is from RNAcentral. Lineage: Bacteria; Pseudomonadati; Pseudomonadota; Gammaproteobacteria; Lysobacterales; Lysobacteraceae.
CGCAGAGUGUAAAGGCACAAGGGAGCUUGACUGCGAGACCUACAAGUCGAGCAGGGACGAAAGUCGGGCUUAGUGAUCCGGUGGUUCCGCAUGGAAGGGCCAUCGCUCAACGGAUAAAAGCUACCCCGGGGAUAACAGGCUUAUCUCCCCCAAGAGUCCACAUCGACGGGGAGGUUUGGCACCUCGAUGUCGGCUCAUCACAUCCUGGGGCUGUAGUCGGUCCCAAGGGUUGGGCUGUUCGCCCAUUAAAGCGGUACGCGAGCUGGGUUCAGAACGUCGUGAGACAGUUCGGUCCCUAUCCGUCGCGGGCGCAGGAAAUUUGAGAGGAGCUGUCCUUAGUACGAGAGGACCGGGAUGGACGCACCGCUGGUGUACCAGUUGUUCUGCCAAGGGCAUCGCUGGGUAGCUAUGUGCGGACGGGAUAAGUGCUGAAAGCAUCUAAGCAUGAAGCCCCCCUCAAGAUGAGAUUUCCCAUUCCGCAAGGAAGUAAGAUCCCUGAAAGAUGAUCAGGUUGAUAGGUCUGAGGUGGAAGUGUGGCGACACAUGGAGCUGACAGAUACUAAUCGAUCGAGGACUUAACCAUAUUU